UACCUUAUUUUGUGCAAUAUUUACAAAAUUACCGAUGAACGAAUUAGUACACAAAGUUUUUCGCUCAGUGAAUGGGUUGCUCUCUUUGUUUUUCGCUGCUUACGCACACAAUCAAAUGUUAUAAAUGUGUGCGUUUUGCCCACCACUGUUCUACACCAAUCUCUUGGAUACUUUUUCUUCUCCAAGAUGUGGCAAGUUGCAAGUAGAGUGUGGUAGCAGGGGAACCGCAACAUCAUCAGGCAGGAGGAGGAGGAGGAGGAGCAGGAGCAACAUCCAAGCAACAUCGAGGCAACAGCAAUUACAGCGACAACAACAACACCAAGUCAAGAUGCCCCCACGCUGGAAAAUUCAAAAUGUUUUCGUUUGAGUGAGCACAACAACAACAACAAUAGCAAUAGCUAUAGCUAGAGCAACAACAACUACGACAACUGUCGACAUGAUCACCCUUCUUGGCCAAGUUGGAUUACGUGCGAAUGACUCGCUGACUGAAUGGCUAAAGAACUGGAAGCACUGGCUACGACUGAGUGGCAGACCGACUGACUAUCCACCCGACAUGUUGUGCUACUCCCACUCUCCUAGCACUCCUAGGCACCCCUAGCACCCCUAGCACUCCUAGCACAUUUGCCACAAAAAGUCGAAAAUAAAAUAGAGGAAGAAGAUA
This is a long non-coding RNA of Drosophila ananassae, 661 nucleotides long. RefSeq lists it as uncharacterized. The record is from RefSeq and is a predicted model, not a curated record. Lineage: Eukaryota; Metazoa; Arthropoda; Insecta; Diptera; Drosophilidae. The transcript is spliced from 2 exons.